This 253-nucleotide ribosomal RNA is filed under the name uncultured bacterium. RNAcentral's name for it is "partial 16S ribosomal RNA". It matches the Rfam family "Bacterial small subunit ribosomal RNA", at positions 524 to 776 of the family's 1533-position model. The record is from RNAcentral.
UACGGGGGGAGCAAGCGUUGUUCGGAUUUACUGGGCGUAAAGGGCGCGUAGGCGGCGCAACAAGUCACUUGUGAAAUCUCCGGGCUUAACCCGGAGCGGUCAAGUGAUACUGUCGUGCUAGAGUGCGGAAGGGGCUACUGGAAUUCUCGGUGUAGCGGUGAAAUGCGUAGAUAUCGGGAGGAACACCUGUGGCGAAAGCGGCUCACUGGACCAUAACUGACGCUGAUGCACGAAAGCUGGGGGAGCAAACAGG